GACGGACCGUCCAAACGUUAUUCGGUAUCACUGGGCUUAAAGGGUGCGUAGGCGGUCCCGUAAGUCGGGUGUGAAAUCCCUCGGCUCAACCGAGGAAGUGCGCCCGAAACUGCGGGGCUAGAGGGAGGUAGAGGCGAGUGGAACUUGCGGUGGAGCGGUGAAAUGCGUUGAUAUCGCAAGGAACACCGGUGGCGAAGGCGGCUCGCUGGGCCUUCCCUGACGCUGAGGUAAGAAAGCUAGGGGAGCGAAUGGG
RNAcentral lists this ribosomal RNA (253 nucleotides) under uncultured bacterium. RNAcentral describes it as "partial 16S ribosomal RNA". It matches the Rfam family "Bacterial small subunit ribosomal RNA", at positions 524 to 776 of the family's 1533-position model. The record is from RNAcentral.